Molecule: non-coding RNA, 22 nt
Filed under: Arabidopsis thaliana (thale cress)
Lineage: Eukaryota; Viridiplantae; Streptophyta; Magnoliopsida; Brassicales; Brassicaceae
Source: RNAcentral
GUGUUGUACUAGGCUGGUGUCA